GCCUCAGUAACGGCGAGUGAAGCGGCAAAAGCUCAAAUUUGAAAUCCCCCGGGAAUUGUAAUUUGAAGAGAUUUGGGUCCGGCCGGCAGGGGUUAAGUCCACUGGAAAGUGGCGCCACAGAGGGUGACAGCCCCGUGAACCCCNUNAAAGCCNUCAUCCCAGAUCUCCAAGAGUCGAGUUGUUUGGGAAUGCAGCUCUAAGUGGGUGGUAAAUUCCAUCUAAAGCUAAAUACCGGCGAGAGACCGAUAGCGAACAAGUACAGUGAUGGAAAGAUGAAAAGCACUUUGAAAAGAGAGUGAAAAAGUACGUGAAAUUGUUGAAAGGGAAGGGCUUGCAAGCAGACACUUAACUGGGCCAGCAUCGGGGCGGCGGGNANCAAAACCACCGGGGAAUGUACCUUUCGAGGAUUAUAACCCGG
This 418-nucleotide ribosomal RNA is filed under the name Metschnikowia pulcherrima. RNAcentral's name for it is "eukaryotic LSU rRNA". It matches the Rfam family "Eukaryotic large subunit ribosomal RNA", at positions 77 to 490 of the family's 3401-position model. The record is from RNAcentral. Lineage: Eukaryota; Fungi; Ascomycota; Pichiomycetes; Serinales; Metschnikowiaceae.